This 460-nucleotide ribosomal RNA is filed under the name uncultured bacterium. RNAcentral's name for it is "partial 16S ribosomal RNA". It matches the Rfam family "Bacterial small subunit ribosomal RNA", at positions 338 to 795 of the family's 1533-position model. The record is from RNAcentral.
CCUACGGGAGGCUGCAGUGAGGAAUAUUGGUCAAUGGGCGCGAGCCUGAACCAGCCAAGUCGCGUGAGGGAGGACGGCCCUACGGGUUGUAAACCUCUUUUGCCGGGGAGCAACGGGCGUCACGUGUGGCGCCACUGAGAGUACCCGGAGAAAAAGCAUCGGCUAACUCCGUGCCAGCAGCCGCGGAAAUACGGAGGAUGCGAGCGUGAUCCGGAUUUAUUGGGGUGAAGGGGUGCGUUGGAGGAUCUUUAAGUCAGUGGUAAAAUUGAGGGGCUCAACCCCUUCCCGCCAUUGAAACUGGCGCUCUUGAGUGGAAGAGAAGUAUGCGGAAUGCGUGGUGUAGCGGUGAAAUGCAUAGAUAUCACGCAGAACCCCGAUUGCGAAGGCAGCAUGCCGGCUUCCGACUGACGCUGAAGCACGAAAGCGUGGGGAUCGAACAGGAUUAGAUACCCCAGUAGUC